UUCAAACCACGCUGAGCUCCCCGUGUCCCCGCAGACCAGUGGCUGGGAUUCACCAGAAGAGCAGCAACACGGGUUUAAUUGGGGAUAAAUAUUCCCAGAACAAAUCACGGGGAUGUAACACCAUGAAGGAAAAGGAGGAGAAGAUUUUGGCCAAAAUCCAGGAAGUUUGAAUGAAGACAAUUCUCAGAAAUUAAUGGUGAGUGACAUUAAAAGAUAGCAGAUAAUAGAAGAUAACAGGUAAUAAAAGAUAAAUAAUAAAAGAUAACAGCAGGAGAUGCAAAGGAAAUGAAACUUGGUGCUCUAAACCAGCUCCAAAUGGACACUAAAAUAAAUGAAUAAAUAAACUCCAAUAAAUUGGGGUUGAAUAUUAAAAUAAGAAUUAAGAAUACUGAGUUUCAGUAGGAAACUUGAAAUCCUUCCCUCCAAAAUUGUGUUAAAAUCCCCUUUCCUUGAAAAGAGCUGAAACAACAGGACAGGACCUGGAUUCAAGGAAUUAGUGCAGGAUAAAA
Long non-coding RNA from Melospiza georgiana, 509 nucleotides. RefSeq lists it as uncharacterized. The transcript has 2 exons. NCBI's taxonomy places the organism in Eukaryota, Metazoa, Chordata, Aves, Passeriformes, Passerellidae. The record is from RefSeq and is a predicted model, not a curated record.